AUUGAACGCUGGCGGCAUGCCUUACACAUGCAAGUCGAACGGCAGCACGGGGGCAACCCUGGUGGCGAGUGGCGGACGGGUGAGUAAUGCAUCGGAACGUGCCCUGAAGUGGGGGAUAACGCAGCGAAAGCUACGCUAAUACCGCAUAUUCUGUGAGCAGGAAAGCAGGGGAUCGCAAGACCUUGCGCUUUGGGAGCGGCCGAUGUCGGAUUAGCUAGUUGGUGGGGUAAAGGCCUACCAAGGCGACGAUCCGUAGCGGGUCUGAGAGGAUGAUCCGCCACACUGGGACUGAGACACGGCCCAGACUCCUACGGGAGGCAGCAGUGGGGAAUUUUGGACAAUGGGCGAAAGCCUGAUCCAGCCAUGCCGCGUGAGUGAA
RNAcentral lists this ribosomal RNA (379 nucleotides) under uncultured bacterium. Its description in RNAcentral is "bacterial SSU rRNA". It matches the Rfam family "Bacterial small subunit ribosomal RNA", at positions 29 to 409 of the family's 1533-position model. The record is from RNAcentral.